Hevea brasiliensis (rubber tree) is the source of this 700-nucleotide long non-coding RNA. RefSeq lists it as uncharacterized. The record is from RefSeq and is a predicted model, not a curated record. The transcript is spliced from 3 exons. NCBI's taxonomy places the organism in Eukaryota, Viridiplantae, Streptophyta, Magnoliopsida, Malpighiales, Euphorbiaceae.
UUUGUUUCAAGUUCAACCCUGAAUUUUUUUGUUUUUGACGCUUGGCCAGAGUUUGAAGGAAAAUGAUAAAGAGCUGCUUCAAGCUAGACUGCUAGAGGGUGAUUUUGGUAUAUUAAGAAUUUUUUUUUGGUUUGAUUUUCUGAUUGUAAAUAAUAUCGUGUCUGCAGAGAUUAGGAAGAAAUACCCAGAUAGAAUUCCGGUUGAUGUUAUGUUUUGGGGAUGAAUUGAAGUAUUUUAAUGCAACUAAGAUACCUAGUCCCAGCUGACCUGACUGUGGGUCAGUUUGUGUAUGUAAUCUGAAAGAGAAUUAAACUGAGCGCGGGAAAGGCAAUUAAUAUUUGUGGAUAAUGUCCUCCCACCAAUAGGUAGCAAUUAUUCUUUCCCCUCUGGUUUGUACACAUACACAUAUCUGCUCAAAGCUUUAUAAGGGCACAUUACUCUAUCCCUAACCAAGGUGGGAUAUUAACAAUGCCGUCCAUGUGUUUCUCAUCUUUAUAAUGACUAGGCAAAAGCUAUGCAAGUUUUUCCUUGCCAUGGUGCCCAUAACAUGUCUUCUAUGGACACAAUUAUAGGUUGUAUUUAUUCUUUUUCUUAAAAGUAAAUGAUGUCAACUACUAAAUAAUUUAAACUCCAUUAAAGAAUGAUUUCUUUAAAUCAUUCUACUUGUUUACUAAAAUGAAUACUAGAUUUUGCUGAUAGA